This 253-nucleotide ribosomal RNA is filed under the name uncultured bacterium. Its description in RNAcentral is "partial 16S ribosomal RNA". It matches the Rfam family "Bacterial small subunit ribosomal RNA", at positions 524 to 776 of the family's 1533-position model. The record is from RNAcentral.
UACGAAGGGGGCUAGCGUUGCUCGGAAUCACUGGGCGUAAAGCGCACGUAGGCGGCUUUUUAAGUCAGGGGUGAAAUCCUGGAGCUCAACUCCAGAACUGCCUUUGAUACUGAGAAGCUUGAAUCCGGGAGAGGUGAGUGGAAUUCCGAGUGUAGAGGUGAAAUUCGUAGAUAUUCGGAAGAACACCAGUGGCGAAGGCGGCUCACUGGACCGGUAUUGACGCUGAGGUGCGAAAGCGUGGGGAGCAAACAGG